CCUACGGGAGGCAGCAGUGAGGAAUAUUGGUCAAUGGACGAGAGUCUGAACCAGCCAAGUAGCGUGAAGGAUGACUGCCCUAUGGGUUGUAAACCUCUUUUAUAUGGGAAUAAAAUGUUCCACGUGUGGGAUUUUGUAUGUACCAUAUGAAUAAGGAUCGGCUAACUCCGUGCCAGCAGCCGCGGUAAUUCGGAGGAUCCGAGCGUUAUCCGGAUUUAUUGGGUUUAAAGGGAGCGUAGGUGGGUUGUUAAGUCAGGUGUGAAAGUUUGCGGCUCAACCGUAAAAUUGCAGUUGAAACUGGCAGUCUUGAGUACAGUAGAGGUGGGCGGAAUGCGUGGUGUAGCGGUGAAAUGCUUAGAUAUCACGAAGAACUCCGAUUGCGAAGGCAGUUCACUGGACUGCAACUGACACUGAGGCUCGAAAGUGUGGGUAUCAAACAGGAUUAGAUACCCGGGUAGUC
Molecule: ribosomal RNA, 460 nt
Filed under: uncultured bacterium
Lineage: Bacteria
Description: partial 16S ribosomal RNA
Rfam family: Bacterial small subunit ribosomal RNA
Source: RNAcentral